RNAcentral lists this unclassified non-coding RNA (195 nucleotides) under plant metagenome. RNAcentral's name for it is "partial contains small subunit ribosomal RNA, internal transcribed spacer 1, and 5.8S ribosomal RNA". The record is from RNAcentral.
UCUCCGUUGGUGAACCAGCGGAGGGAUCAUUACCGAGUUUACAACUCCCAAACCCCUGUGAACAUACCAUUUGUUGCCUCGGCGGUGCCUGCUUCGGCAGCCCGCCAGAGGACCCAAACCCUUGAUUUUAUACAGUAUCUUCUGAGUAAAUGAUUAAAUAAAUCAAAACUUUCAACAACGGAUCCCUUGGUUCUG